RNAcentral lists this long non-coding RNA (352 nucleotides) under Coccomyxa subellipsoidea. RNAcentral describes it as "long non-coding RNA (CSUB_LNC000564)". The record is from RNAcentral. Lineage: Eukaryota; Viridiplantae; Chlorophyta; Trebouxiophyceae; Coccomyxaceae.
AUAAGAGGAAUAGAAGAUCCCAUCUGCCAUCUACUUCGCACCUAAGGAGAUCUAUUACGCUCUAUAUUGAGACGAUCUUUUUGGUAGAUCACCCAAAUGUGAAUUGCAAACUUUAUAAAUCCGGGUGCAUCCGAUGUGAAGAAGGCAUCUAUGUUCAAAGCUAUCACUAUGCAGACAGAAAUGGAUGGGAUGCUGGGCUUUCUGUCCUUGUGAAAUCUAUCGAUGGGCUACAGAUGGUGAGCAUAAAAAUCGCAGGUAGCAUCCAUUUGACUUCUGCAUCUUCAAUCUGCAACACCGGACAUUAUGUCUGUUUCUCCUCGCAGGCUUCUCAGAUGGCAGCACCCAGGACCGA